This 277-nucleotide long non-coding RNA is filed under the name Arabidopsis lyrata. Its description in RNAcentral is "long non-coding RNA (ALYR_LNC002675)". Lineage: Eukaryota; Viridiplantae; Streptophyta; Magnoliopsida; Brassicales; Brassicaceae. The record is from RNAcentral.
GUGCAUGGAAAACGAAUCCUAUACAUACCAAAGUCCGAAUCUCAGUGCCUUAGAAUGACCUUGAUACCAAAAACUUUAAGUUACUACUUCCAUAUAUGUAAUAUUUUAGUUUGGGGAGAGAGAUUGGCAACGAAGAGUAAUUCCUGAAUUUAACAGCCAAGUUUGUUAUCCCUAAUCUAAAGAGAGGAAUACUUAAAUUGUAUUAACGACAAAAAUUAGCCUCCUCUGAAGAUUCAUCCCUGAAAUAAGUCAUCUUUCUGACUUUGUGGCAACUGUG